Molecule: small nucleolar RNA, 107 nt
Organism: Octodon degus (degu)
Lineage: Eukaryota; Metazoa; Chordata; Mammalia; Rodentia; Octodontidae
Product: small nucleolar RNA U13
Exons: 1
Source: RefSeq, a predicted model, not a curated record
CUCUUUUUGCAGUUUAUAAGCAUGAAGAUGGUGUUUUCAUGCUGCUGUGUAAAAUGUGGCUUCCUUCAAAAGCUUUGUUACAGUGUCAGCAUAUCGCCCAUCUGGCG